AUUGAACGCUGGCGGCAGGCCUAACACUGCAAGUCGAGCGGUAACACAGGGGAGCUUGCUCCUGAGGUGACGAGCGGCGGACGGGUGAGUAAUGCCUAGGUAUCUGCCCAGUCGAGGGGGAUAACAGUUGGAAACGACUGCUAAUACCGCAUACGCCCUACGGGGGAAAGGAGGGGACCUUCGGGCCUUCCGCGAUUGGAUGAACCUAGGUGGGAUUAGCUAGUUGGUGAGGUAAUGGCUCACCAAGGCGACGAUCAGUAGCCGGACUGAGAGGUUGAACGGCCACAUUGGGACUGAGACACGGCCCAGACUCCUACGGGAGGCAGCAGUGGGGAAUAUUGCGCAAUGGGCGAAAGCCUGACGCAGCAAUUCCGCGUGGAGGAUGACGGUUUUCGGAUUGUAAACUCCUUUGAUCAGGGAAGAAUUUUUGACGGUACCUGAAGAACAAGCACCGGCUAACUACGUGCCAGCAGCCGCGGUAAUACGUAGGGUGCAAGCGUUAUCCGGAUUUACUGGGUGUAAAGGGCGAGUAGGCGGGACUGCAAGUCAGAUGUGAAAUACCAGGGCUCAACCCUGGGGCUGCAUUUGAAACUGUAGUUCUUGAAGUGAUGGAGAGGCAGGCGGAAUUCCUAGUGUAGCGGUGAAAUGCGUAGAUAUUAGGAGGAACACCAGUGGCGAAGGCGGCCUGUCCGGACAUUAACCCGACGCUGAGGAGCGAAAGCGUGGGGGGA
RNAcentral lists this ribosomal RNA (731 nucleotides) under uncultured Gammaproteobacteria bacterium. RNAcentral's name for it is "bacterial SSU rRNA". It matches the Rfam family "Bacterial small subunit ribosomal RNA", at positions 28 to 769 of the family's 1533-position model. Lineage: Bacteria; Pseudomonadati; Pseudomonadota; Gammaproteobacteria. The record is from RNAcentral.